Molecule: long non-coding RNA, 433 nt
Organism: Branchiostoma belcheri (Belcher's lancelet)
Lineage: Eukaryota; Metazoa; Chordata; Leptocardii; Amphioxiformes; Branchiostomatidae
Exons: 3
Source: RefSeq, a predicted model, not a curated record
GCUAAGGUAAUACACAAGUCAACAGGUUUGUGUCUGGACGCCACCAACCCCAAUGGCUUGGCUGGAGUGAAAACAAGUCUUUACCAGUGUCAUGGACAAGGUGGUAAUCAGUUCUUUGAAUACACGAAAGAUCACGAGCUAAGAACUCCUAUUGGUCGGAACUGGGACCUCUGCCUGCACUGUGGAAUGGGUUCGCAAGAUGUCGUUACUGCACACUGCACAGGUCCGAGCAAGGUUGUCCAAGAUCAGCUUUGGUUGUACACGAAGGACCGGACGCUGUUACAUCUCUACACGCAUUACUGCCUGGAAGGAGCGCUCUCUGGCGUCACCUUAGCAACGUGCAACGGGCAGGACAAACAGAUAUGGAUACUAGAAAACAUAAGUUCACAAGAAUAGUCUUUUAGUCUUUCAAUCCUGCAACAUUGUAGGUGAA